GGGUUGUGAGGUUAAGCGACUAAGCGUACACGGUGGAUGCCCUGGCAGUCAGAGGCGAUGAAGGACGUGCUAAUCUGCGAUAAGCGUCGGUGAGGUGAUAUGAACCGUUAUAACCGGCGAUUUCCGAAUGGGGAAACCCAGUGUGAUUCGUCACACUAUCAUUAACUGAAUCCAUAGGUUAAUGAGGCGAACCGGGGGAACUGAAACAUCUAAGUACCC
This 219-nucleotide ribosomal RNA is filed under the name Escherichia coli. Its description in RNAcentral is "partial 23S ribosomal RNA". It matches the Rfam family "Bacterial large subunit ribosomal RNA", at positions 1 to 211 of the family's 2925-position model. Lineage: Bacteria; Pseudomonadati; Pseudomonadota; Gammaproteobacteria; Enterobacterales; Enterobacteriaceae. The record is from RNAcentral.